AGUGAACGCUGGCGGUAGGCCUAACACAUGCAAGUCGAACGGCAGCACAGUAAGAGCUUGCUCUUACGGGUGGCGAGUGGCGGACGGGUGAGGAAUACAUCGGAAUCUACUUUUUCGUGGGGGAUAACGUAGGGAAACUUACGCUAAUACCGCAUACGACCUACGGGUGAAAGCAGGGGAUCUUCGGACCUUGCGCGAUUGAAUGAGCGGAUGUCGGAUUAGCUAGUUGGCGGGGUAAAGGCCCACCAAGGCGACGAUCCGUAGCUGGUCUGAGAGGAUGAUCAGCCACACUGGAACUGAGACACGGUCCAGACUCCUACGGGAGGCAGCAGUGGGGAAUAUUGGACAAUGGGCGCAAGCCUGAUCCAGCCAUACCGCGUGGGUGAAGAAGGCCUUCGGGUUGUAAAGCCCUUUUGUUGGGAAAGAAAAGCAGCAGGUUAAUACCCCGCUGUUCUGACGGUACCCAAAGAAUAAGCACCGGCUAACUUCGUG
RNAcentral lists this ribosomal RNA (492 nucleotides) under uncultured bacterium. RNAcentral describes it as "partial 16S ribosomal RNA". It matches the Rfam family "Bacterial small subunit ribosomal RNA", at positions 29 to 507 of the family's 1533-position model. The record is from RNAcentral.